GCCGCCGUAACGUAGCUUGGCUAGCGUACAGGCCUGUGGAGCCUGGAGGCCGGGUUCAAAUCCCGGCGGCGGCC
RNAcentral lists this transfer RNA (74 nucleotides) under Candidatus Bathyarchaeota archaeon. Its description in RNAcentral is "tRNA-His". It matches the Rfam family "tRNA". From Rfam's summary of the family: Transfer RNA (tRNA) molecules are approximately 80 nucleotides in length. Their secondary structure includes four short double-helical elements and three loops (D, anti-codon, and T loops). Lineage: Archaea; Thermoproteati; Candidatus Bathyarchaeota. The record is from RNAcentral.